RNAcentral lists this long non-coding RNA (1129 nucleotides) under Heterocephalus glaber (naked mole-rat). RNAcentral describes it as "lncRNA (ENSHGLG00100041140.1)". The record is from RNAcentral. Lineage: Eukaryota; Metazoa; Chordata; Mammalia; Rodentia; Bathyergidae.
ACAUACUGUCCUUGCUUGGAGUCACACAGCCAUGCAGCUAAGAUACUCAAGACGGCAGAGAAGCCGCACAGAGAAGCAGGAGGCCCAGGUGAGAAGCCAGGUUCAACAGGUGGUCGCUGUGUGACUCUGGCUGACCUCAGAGCCCCUCACUUUCCUCCUCUGUGAGGUAAGAAACCAGAGCCCUCAGGGCUCCUCCCAGCUGCAGCAGCCGGUGAGUCCAUUCCAACAGUUUUCCCAUGCAGCCAGCCUUCUCGUGAGCAACUGCCAUCGCAGCCCUCUGUCCUAGCUCACAUGGGUGGAUGCUGUGUUCAGGGGAUAAUGAGGGAUCAUCAUGGCUGCCUUUUUUUAGUUCUCAAGCUCAACUGAAAACCGCCACCGUAGUGCUGUUAAGACACAUGACAGGUGGCUCCAUUCAGUGCCCAGGACAGACACAAGACCGGCUCCGUCCCUGCUCAGACAGCUGUAGGGGACAGCGAGUCCCUUCCUUCCUUGGCUGGAGGAGACUUCACCCAGGCCCUGCCUCUCGUGCAUCUCAGGUCUGCUUUUAUGAUCCCAGACAGCUCCGUUAGCGAUCUCCUCCUGGCUCUGGCCACAGGGACAUAAUCUUCAGCUCUGCCACUAAUUAAAACACCACCAAGGCAAAGUCACCUAACACCUCAAGCCCAAUCCUCCUUGAGUGGAAAAUCAAGAUGACAGAACUUCAUAGGGCCUUUAACAAUAUCAAGGUCCCAGCUCUGAGGACAGUGACAAUGAGGAACACCAGUCGCUGCUUUUUGUCAAGAUUGAAAAAGCUUCCCUUGUGCUGGCAGCCAAUGCAGAGAUUCACCAGGAGUGAGACAGAAAGAGAGAUACAGAGGCCCAGGACCUCCAGCCAUCCCCACAGCCCAGAUCCACCCUGGGCUUUCCAAGCGCUUGAGCCAAUAAAUCUCCUCUGCUCUUUAUUCCUCCUAAACUAAGUUUCUUUCACCGACAGCCAAGCAUUUACUAACAUGCUCAAGAAAUACCUGUUGGGGCCAGUCACAGCUUCCCAAACCCUGGCAUGUCUUCAAGAUCCCAGGUCUAAAAGGCCCUGGUUCUAAAUCAACGAUCGGGACCCCACAAGUUCCUGAUAGGUUUAAUACACUCUCAC